This 401-nucleotide ribosomal RNA is filed under the name uncultured bacterium. RNAcentral's name for it is "bacterial SSU rRNA". It matches the Rfam family "Bacterial small subunit ribosomal RNA", at positions 355 to 774 of the family's 1533-position model. The record is from RNAcentral.
UCGGGAAUUUUGGGCAAUGGGCGAAAGCCUGACCCAGCAACGCCGCGUGAGGGAUGAAGUAUUUCGGUAUGUAAACCUCGAAAGAAUGGGAAGAAUAAAUGACGGUACCAUUAUAAGCUCCGGCUAACUACGUGCCAGCAGCCGCGGUAAUACGUAGGGAGCAAGCGUUGUUCGGAUUUACUGGGCGUAAAGGGCGCGUAGGCGGCGCGGUUAGUCACUUGUGAAAUCUCUGAGCUUAACUCAGAACGGCCAAGUGAUACUGCUGUGCUAGAGUGCGGAAGAGGCAACCGGAAUUCUUGGUGUAGCGGUGAAAUACGUAGAUAUCAAGAGGAACACCUGAGGCGAAGGCGGGUUGCUGGGCCGACACUGACGCUGAUGCGCGAAAGCCAGGGGAGCAAACG